GCGCAGGCGCUGAUUAAGCCGUUGCCGGCGGCUGGAUGUGCCUUUUCCUGUCGUAGUCGCCGGCGGUUGCGUCGGGUCGGUUUCCAGUGACUCCCUUGGGUCGUUCUCUCCGCAGCGAGCCAUGUCCUCUCCUAGCAGCUCUUCCCCGCAGCAGCACGACGGGGCCGCAGGGAACGCCUCUGCCUCCACGUCUUCCCGCUCCGCUGCUUCCCCCUCCGCCGCUUCCUCCUCCGCCUCGGGCCGCGGCCGCGGCAAGGCUUUGGCGGAUGCCCGCGUCUCCGAGGAAUUGGAGAUCGCGUUGAACCUGGCGCUGGAGCGGUUCUGGUACAGUGAUGAUCAAGAGAUGUCGUUUCCUUCGUCUUUUACCUCUACCGAAAGAGCCUUUAUUCACCGACUGUGUCAGUCUCUUGGUUUGAUAUCUAAAAGUAAAGGAAAAGGAUCAAGUCGAUAUCUAACUGUCAGGAAAAAGAAUGGAUCAGAAGUAGCUCAUGCAGAAAUGACUUGCUGUUUAACACCCAGAACGAAACAGACUGUUCACAGUUUAAUUCACAGAUUUCCUCUCACAAAUAAAGAACGAAUAGAACUUCUGCCAAAGACGCAGCGAGGAAAUGCAUUUGCUGUUGAAACUGAAAACAAAGAAGUUGGGAAGACGAGUGGAAGGCUUAGCAGUGGUAUUCCUCAAGUCCCGCUGAAAAGGGGAGAGUCAGAAUAUGAUUCUUUUAGGCAAUCAUUGCCAGUUUUUGAAAAGAAGGAGGAAAUUGUCAAAAUAAUAAAGGAAAAUAAGGUUGUUCUCAUUGUAGGAGAGACUGGAUCCGGAAAAACUACUCAAAUUCCUCAGUUCCUUCUUGAUGACUGCUACGAAAAUGGAGUUCCCUGUCGUAUAUUUUGCACUCAGCCAAGACGUUUGGCAGUUAUUGCUGUAGCUGAAAGAGUGGCAGCAGAAAGAAGAGAAAAGGUUGGCCAGACAGUUGGUUAUCAGAUCCGAUUAGAAAGCAGGGUUUCUCCAAGGACACUGUUAACGUUUUGCACUAAUGGCAUACUGCUUCGCACACUAAUGGCUGGAGACAGUGCUCUAUCAACAGUAACGCAUGUGAUUGUGGAUGAAGUACAUGAAAGGGAUAGAUUCAGUGAUUUCUUGUUAAUAAAACUGCGAGAUAUAUUGCAAAACCAGACUAAUUUAAAACUAAUCAUUUCUAGUGCUGCUCUAGAUGCAAAUCUCUUUAUAAAGUAUUUUGGAAGUUGCCCAGUAAUACACAUCCAAGGAAGACCAUUUGAAGUUAAAGAGAUGUUUUUGGAAGACAUUUUACGAAGUACUGGAUAUACAAACAAAGAGAUGAUAAAGUACAAAAAGGAGAAACAGCGAGAAGAAAAACAGCAAAGCACUCUCACUGAGUGGUGUUGUGCUCAAGAAAAUAGUAGCAACCCAGAAUCACGGAGAAGACGAUCUGUUGCAAGUGUAUCUGAAGAGUAUAAUCUGCUGGAUAGCAGUGGUGACACAGUAUUUAAUCAUCUGAUCGAAAGAGAUACAAGUUGUCUUGAACCAUGGCUAAUAAAAGAAAUGGAUUCUUGUCUUUCCGACAUCUGGUUACAUAAAGAUAUUGAUUCCUUUGCUCAGGUGUUCCAUUUCAUCUUAACUGAAAACGUUAGUGUUGAUUAUAGGCACAGUGAAACGAGUGCGACUGCACUAAUGAUUGCUUCAGGGAGAGGCUUUCUAAGUCAAGUAGAGCAACUGAUUAGUAUGGGAGCAAGUGUCCACUGCAAAUCAUCCAAUGGCUGGAUGGCUUUAGACUGGGCUAAGCACUUCGGACAAACAGAGGUGGUUGACCUGUUGGAAUCUUACAGUGCUUCAAUGGAAUCUGGAAAUCUGGAUGAGAGUUCUCUGGUCCAAGCAAGUGGUAAUGACCUUGGAGCAGAGGACAGGGAACUGUUGAAAGCCUAUCAUCACAGUUUUGAUGAUGAAAAGGUGGAUCUGGACCUGAUUAUGCACUUACUUUACAACAUCUGCAAUAGUUCUGAUGGGGGAGCAAUUUUAAUAUUUCUCCCUGGAUAUGAUGAGAUAAUCAGCUUGAGAGACCGUAUUAUUUUUGAUGACAAGAGAUUUGUUGAUAAUGCUCACAGAUACCAAGUAUUCAUGCUUCAUUCAAAUAUGCAGACUUUGGAUCAGAAGAAUGUGCUUAAAACUCCACCUUCUGGCAUCCGCAAAAUAAUUCUUUCUACCAAUAUUGCGGAAACCAGUAUCACAGUCAAUGAUGUUGUAUUUGUUAUUGAUUCGGGAAAGAUGAAAGAGAAGUCUUUUGAUGCACUGAGUUGUGUUACUAUGUUAAAAACUGUGUGGAUUUCAAAAGCCAGUGCUAUCCAGAGAAGAGGGAGAGCAGGGCGCUGUCGGCCUGGAGUCUGUUUCCAUCUCUUCAGCAGGCUCCGAUUUCAGAAUAUGUUGGAAUUUCAGACUCCGGAACUUCGAAGAAUGCCACUUCAGGAACUUUGUUUACACACAAAACUUCUGGCUCCAGUUAAUUGCCCAGUUGUUGACUUUCUCAUGAAAGCUCCUGAUCCUCCACCAGCUUUAAUUGUGAGAAACGCCAUACAAAUGCUCAAGAAAAUAGAUGCCAUGGAUGUUUGGGAAGACCUCACUGAACUUGGUUAUCAUCUUGCUGAAUUACCAGUAGAGCCACAUCUUGGUAAAAUGGUGCUAUGUGCUGUUGUUCUGAAGUGCCUGGAUCCUAUUCUCACUAUUGCUUGCACUCUUGCAUAUCGAGACCCUUUUGUUCUACCUACGGUGGCCUCUCAAAAGCGUGCAGCUAUGCUGUGCAGAAAACGUUUAGCUGCAGGAACAUUUAGUGACCAUAUGGUGCUCCUCAGGGCUUUCCAGGCAUGGCAGAAGGCACGAAGUGAUGGCUGGGAGAGGGUCUUCUGUGAAAAGAACUUUCUUUCUCAAGCUACAAUGGAAAUCAUCAUAGGAAUGAGAACACAGUUACUUGGCCAGCUUAGAGCUUUAGGUUUUGUGAGAGCCAGAGGAGGUGCUGAUAUUAGAGAUGUUAACGUUAACUCUGAGAACUGGGCUGUUGUUAAAGCUGCCUUAGUGGCUGGGAUGUAUCCCAAUCUAGUGCAUGUGGACAGAGAAAACCUGGUUUUGACAGGACCAAAAGAGAAGAAAGUGCGAUUUCAUCCUACGUCUGUUCUUAGCCAGGCUCAGUAUAAAAAGAUUCCGCCAUCAAAUGGGCAAGCUGCAGCUGUUCAGGCACUCCCUACUGACUGGCUUAUAUAUGAUGAAAUGACAAGAGCUCACAGGAUAGCAAAUAUCAGAUGUUGUUCAGUUGUAACACCUGUCACUGUGGCACUCUUCUCUGGACCAGCUAGGUUACCACGUAAUGCUUUGCAAGAGCCUUUGUCCUUUCGAGGAAAUAGGGUAUCUAAUGAUAAUGACAGUGAUAGUGGGAUGGAGGAUGAAAGAUCUAAUGUGGCACUACUGAAGCUAGAUGAAUGGCUCCAUUUCAAGCUGGACUCUGAAGUUGCUGGUUUGCUGAUGCAACUCAAACUCAAGUGGCAUAGCUUGCUUUUGCGCCGUAUGCGAGCUCCUUCUAAACCAUGGUCUCAAGCUGAUGAAAUAACUAUAAGAGCAAUUAUAUCCGUUUUAAGUACUGAAGAACAGUUUGCAGGUUUGCUGCAGCCUUCAGGAGUUGGUCAGAGGCCAAGACCUGUUUCUUACAAUGAACUUCCUUCAGCACCUACCUGGAGGUCAAGCAGCAGCUCAGCAGAAACUGAAUUAUCAGAUGAUUCCUCUAAUGCUGAAAAAGUUCUAAGGAAGUCUGCACCUCCAGCAUUUCAUCAGCCAAGGAGACACAAAGAAAAAAAUGUUGUGGCUUCCAAACGAACAUCAGAUGAGAAGUCAGAUCAGUCAUCAGUGAAAUCUACAGACAGCAGUUGCUAUCCUAGCCCAUGUGUUAGUCCUUCUCCAGUGUCUGGAAAGGGUUCAAAAACUCCUUCACCAAGACUAAGUAUGCCAGUUCGGUACUUUAUAAUGAAAAGCAGCAAUCUGCAAAACCUUGAUAUUUCUCAGCAGAAAGGUAUAUGGUCUACUACGCCAAGUAACGAACAAAAACUAAACAGAGCUUUUUGGGAGAGCAGCUUGGUUUACUUAAUAUUUUCUGUUCAAGGAUCUGGACACUUUCAGGGAUUUGCUAGAAUGUCUUCAGAGAUAGGGUGUGAGCAAAGUCAGUGCUGGGGAUCUACUGGUUUAGGAGGUGUGUUUAAGGUGGAAUGGAUCCGAAAAGAAAGCAUUCCUUUCCAGUUUACACACCAUUUGCUCAACCCCUGGAAUGACAAUAAGGAAGUACAGAUAAGCAGAGAUGGCCAGGUAAUGUUACUGUCAUGUAGACUCUCCUUUACCUGUUGGAACUGUAUUUAUUUUACCGUAUUUAGAAUUCAUGUCUCUCAGCUGUCUUCAUAUGUCUGUUGAUCUGAAUUUCAGUUCAUCGGUGCAUACUGCACAUCGUGCAAAUGCAUUACUGUUGAAUUAAUUGAAAUUUUGGUGUAAAAUAAGAAAAAGUAAAUACAGCAGACAAAGCCUUACUUAAAAGAAUUUUGCACUGCACCUUCAGAGAAGUAGGUCAAGUUGUAGAAGCUGAGUCAUUAUCACUUCAGUGUGAACUGUAUUUAUGCUUUUAAUGAAAUUGUAUACUCCACAUAGGAAGUCUUUGUAAAAUGGCCUAAUUCCUUCCUAUUCCUUACUGUUAUAAUUUAGAUCUCAAAAUUUAUCUGUAAUAACUGUUACACUUCAAAGUUUGAACUAUCAUUUGUAUACGGAGUUUUUGUAUAUUCAUCCAUUCUUUGAAAGUGACAUAACCUUUAGAUUUGAGCUGGAACAGCUUUUCUGAAAUUUUGUUUGGUUUUCAUUAGGUUCAAACACUCUAGUAAAAUCAAAGCAGUCUCUUGCUUAAUGUGCCUUCAAAAAAACGUUAAAGCUGGAUGCUUCCAUAAGUAAAAGCUUUUAAGAAUUUGUAAUUUUGCUUCUGCAGCUCUUCAGACUUGUUUUUUCCAAAAUAGUCUCCAAGUAAGUGUUCAGAACUGUAACUUUGAGUUUCCUCUGAAGACUAAAGCAAAUCUUGAGAUAGAAUAAAGGUAGGAUAGUUCUGCAGUCUUUAAAGCCAGAAGCAGCUACAAAAAGCUGGAAGAGAGCAGUCACUAGUUCUCUAGUAGCUUGUGUUCUCCUUAGUCCUUUCUAAAAAGGUAGAAAAAAGUCUUUUAGAUAAAUAUAUUAGGAGUAUUGUUGUCUUUUAUCAUCGUCCUGCUUCCCAGAAUCUCUUUAGUUAGUAAGAAUGAGGAAAGUAACAUACCAGAAGCACAUGAUGGUGUCGGAUUUUAACUCUGCUUCUAUCACUUCUCAGCCUUUUGGCUAAGAUCACGUAUAGCAUCUGUCCUUAUCAGUUUAAUACCUGAUAAGGACUUUAUAUUAAAUGGAUUUUGGGGCAUGGGAAUUGCACCUGGAGCUUGCUCCCUUUGCUCCAUAUAUCAUCCUGGUAUGAAAGUACCUCCGGGCAAUUACUUCACAGGCAACCCUACAGGCCUGGGGAGGAGAGGCUGGAAAGCUGCCUGACAGAAAGGGACCUUGGUGUACUGAUGGACAGUGGGCUGAAUAUGAGCCACCAAUGUGCCCAGGUGGACAAGAAGGCCAGUGGCAUCCUGGCUUGUAUCAGGAAUGGUGUGGUGAGCAGGACUUGGGAAGAAAUCCUGCCACUGUACUCGGCACUGGUGAGGCCCCACCUUGAGUACUGUGUUCAGUUUGGGGCAACUCAAUACAGAAGGGACAGUGAGGUGCUGGAACAGGUCCAACGAAGGGCAACAAGGCUGGUGAAGGGCUUGGAGAAAAGGCCCUACAAAGGGCAACUAAAGGAACUGGGACUGUUGAGUCUGAGGAAGAGGAGGCUGAGGGGAGACCUCAUUGCUCUCUUCCAAUAUCUGGAGAGUGAUUGCAGCGAGUGCAGGGUUGGUCUCUUCUCACUGCUGACAGGUGACAGAACGAGGGGAAAUGGCCUCAAGUUGUGUAAGGAGAGGCUUAGGUUGGUUAUGAGGUUAUGAGGAAAAAUUUCUUUACAGAAAGGGUUGUUAAGCACUGGAAUAGGCUCCCCAGGGAGGUAGCCCAGUCACCAUCCCUGAAUGUGUUUAACAGCUGUUUGGAUGUGGUUCUCAGGGACACGAUUUAGUGUUGGGUUGUUAGUUAGGGUAGUGGUUGGACUUGGUGAUCUUUAAGGUCUUUUCCAACCUGAGCAAUUGAUUCUGUGAUUGUACUGCAGUAGUUCUUCAGACCUAAAGAGUUUUAAGGAUCUUUACACAAGAUUCUUUACAUCCGUGAUUCUACAAAGAACUACCCUAUUACUUGUUUACCAUCACACUUUAUGAAUUAAGCUUAAAAUAUAGACAGUAAUAAUCUUUAGCUUUAGAAAGGCACAAGGUAUGUGAUUCAAAUGUUCUUGUGUAUACUGGUGGUCUGUUCAGUUAGAAUUAUCUUCUUAAAAACUGAUACCUUACUGUGGGUGGAAAAAAAAGCUCAAACUAGGCUGAUCUUCUGUCUUCUCUCAGCCCUGUUUAAAACAAACAAAAAAACUUGUGCAGGGAGUUCUAACAUAUGUUUCGACAGCAAAAAGAAUGAGCUCUUCCAGAAGAACUGAAAGUAAUGGCCUUUAUCUGUCUUGUUAGAGGUUGUUUAUGUGCAAUACAGAACAAACUUCUCUAAUUUUCUGCUUAUUUCUAGGAGCUAGAACCACAAAUUGGAGAGCAGUUGCUAAAGCUCUGGGAUCAUACUUCAGCAGUAAAAGCCUCAACUGACAAUGUUAAGUAAUAAAAUAGAACCCUGGUUAUCAAACAUUACUGUGAACCAGCAAUGUGCCUACAAUAUAAAGAUGAGAAAGAAGAUGGUGCAACAAGCUCUGAAAGUGUUAGUGAUGCUGUGCAGCUAGCACUAGAAGAAUAAAAGGAAAUAAAGUUGAUUUUAAUAUUG
RNA transcript from Gallus gallus (chicken), 6994 nucleotides. It is a transcript of the gene named YTH domain containing 2, with no coding region annotated. The transcript has 29 exons. Lineage: Eukaryota; Metazoa; Chordata; Aves; Galliformes; Phasianidae. The record is from RefSeq and is a predicted model, not a curated record.